This 393-nucleotide ribosomal RNA is filed under the name bacterium enrichment culture. Its description in RNAcentral is "bacterial SSU rRNA". It matches the Rfam family "Bacterial small subunit ribosomal RNA", at positions 521 to 916 of the family's 1533-position model. The record is from RNAcentral.
UAAUACGGAGGGUGCAAGCGUUAUCCGGAUUUAUUGGGUUUAAAGGGUCCGUAGGCGGACUUAUAAGUCAGUGGUGAAAGCCUGUCGCUUAACGAUAGAACUGCCAUUGAUACUGUAAGUCUUGAGUAUAUUUGAGGUAGCUGGAAUAAGUAGUGUAGCGGUGAAAUGCAUAGAUAUUACUUAGAACACCAAUUGCGAAGGCAGGUUACCAAGAUAUAACUGACGCUGAGGGACGAAAGCGUGGGGAGCGAACAGGAUUAGAUACCCUGGUAGUCCACGCCGUAAACGAUGCUAACUCGUUUUUGGAGCGCAAGCUUCAGAGACCAAGCGAAAGUGAUAAGUUAGCCACCUGGGGAGUACGCUCGCAAGAGUGAAACUCAAAUGAAUUGACGG